CACUCCUGCGGGAGGCAGCAGUGGGGAAUAUUGGACAAUGGGCGCAAGCCUGAUCCAGCCAUGCCGCGUGAGUGAUGAAGGCCCUAGGGUUGUAAAGCUCUUUCACCGGAGAAGAUAAUGACGGUAUCCGGAGAAGAAGCCCCGGCUAACUUCGUGCCAGCAGCCGCGGUAAUACGAAGGGGGCUAGCGUUGUUCGGAAUUACUGGGCGUAAAGCGCACGUAGGCGGAUCGAUCAGUCAGGGGUGAAAUCCCAGGGCUCAACCCUGGAACUGCCUUUGAUACUGUCGAUCUGGAGUAUGGAAGAGGUGAGUGGAAUUCCGAGUGUAGAGGUGAAAUUCGUAGAUAUUCGGAGGAACACCAGUGGCGAAGGCGGCUCACUGGUCCAUUACUGACGCUGAGGUGCGAAAGCGUGGGGAGCAAACAGGAUUAGAAACCCCGGUAGUCCCAUG
This 449-nucleotide ribosomal RNA is filed under the name uncultured organism. Its description in RNAcentral is "partial 16S ribosomal RNA". It matches the Rfam family "Bacterial small subunit ribosomal RNA", at positions 334 to 799 of the family's 1533-position model. The record is from RNAcentral.